AACUGCGAAUGGCUCAUUAAAUCAGUUAUCGUUUAUUUGAUAGUACCUUACUACUUGGAUAACCGUGGUAAUUCUAGAGCUAAUACAUGCUGAAAACCCCAACUUCGGGAGGGGUGUAUUUAUUAGAUAAAAAACCAACGCCCUUCGGGGCUUUUUGGUGAUUCAUGAUAACUUUACGGAUCGCAUGGCCUUGCGCCGGCGACGGUUCAUUCAAAUUUCUGCCCUAUCAACUUUCGAUGGUAAGGUAUUGGCUUACCAUGGUUUCAACGGGUAACGGGGAAUUAGGGUUCGAUUCCGGAGAGGGAGCCUGAGAAACGGCUACCACAUCCAAGGAAGGCAGCAGGCGCGCAAAUUACCCAAUCCCGACACGGGGAGGUAGUGACAAUAAAUACUGAUACAGGGCUCUUUUGGGUCUUGUAAUUGGAAUGAGUACAAUUUAAACCUCUUAACGAGGAACAAUUGGAGGGCAAGUCUGGUGCCAGCAGCCGCGGUAAUUCCAGCUCCAAUAGCGUAUAUUAAAGUUGUUGCAGUUAAAAAGCUCGUAGUUGAACCUUGGGUCUGGCUGGCAGGUCCGCCUCACCGCGUGUACUUGUCCGGCCGGGCCUUCCUUCUGGAGAACCUCAUGCCCUUCACUGGGCGUGUUGGGGACCAGGACUUUUACUUUGAAAAAAUUAGAGUGUUCAAAGCAGGCCUUUGCUCGAAUACGUUAGCAUGGAAUAAUAGAAUAGGACGUGCGGUCCUAUUUUGUUGGUUUCUAGGACCGCCGUAAUGAUUAAUAGGGACAGUCGGGGGCAUCAGUAUUCAAUUGUCAGAGGUGAAAUUCUUGGAUUUAUUGAAGACUAACUACUGCGAAAGCAUUUGCCAAGGAUGUUUUCAUUAAUCAGUGAACGAAAGUUAGGGGAUCGAAGACGAUCAGAUACCGUCGUAGUCUUAACCGUAAACUAUGCCGACUAGGGAUCGGGCGAUGUUCUUUUUCUGACUCGCUCGGCACCUUACGAGAAAUCAAAGUUU
RNAcentral lists this ribosomal RNA (1011 nucleotides) under Leptospora rubella. RNAcentral's name for it is "SSU rRNA". It matches the Rfam family "Eukaryotic small subunit ribosomal RNA", at positions 85 to 1106 of the family's 1831-position model. Lineage: Eukaryota; Fungi; Ascomycota; Dothideomycetes. The record is from RNAcentral.